Molecule: long non-coding RNA, 22075 nt
Filed under: Gossypium barbadense (sea-island cotton)
Lineage: Eukaryota; Viridiplantae; Streptophyta; Magnoliopsida; Malvales; Malvaceae
Description: long non-coding RNA (GBAR_LNC020419)
Source: RNAcentral
UAACUCAUCAUUUCAAAUGAAAAUUUUAGGUUAAAUUCUACAAUUGGUUCUUAUCUCUUUUUUUUUCAUUUUAAGCAAUUUUUUUUCUUUUAUGUUAUUUUAACUUUCCUUUUUUUUCUUUAGUUUUCAUUAUAUUCUGUUUCUCCCUCUGUUUUCCUCCAUUCUUCAUUUCUUUUAACGUAGUUUUUUCUAUGUUUUCAAUUUGUUAAAACUAGUCCACAAACUCCUCACUCAAAAAAAUUAAAUUGUUUUUUUUAAGCAUAAGGACUAAUUUUGAGAAACAGAAAACAUAGAAAAACUACGUUAAAAGAAACAAAGGAGAGAGAAAAACAAAAGGAGAAGCAAAAGAGAAUAGAAAAAAAAGUUAAGAACAUAAAAGAAAAAAAUAUGAGACUGAUUGUGUAGAUUAACCAAAAAUUUUGUUUGAAAUGAUGUUUUAAUAAGUCACAUCAGUUUAACGUUAUACCGUUAACGGUAAUUAAUGUUUCAGUGACUAAAAUGUUACAACGUGAUGAUGACUAAAACGUAACAUUUUAAAUAUAGUGACUAAAAUGUGAACAAAAAUAACUACUUUGAUAGUUUAUCAAGAAAAGAAAGCAAAACUUUAUUUUAUUCCACACUUUUUUGUUUUUUUCCAAGUAGUUGUCUUCUUUACAAGUAAACUGUAAAAAACCUACAAGUAAGAAAGUAUAAAAACAAAGUUUCAGACAAAAAUCCCCCCACAACUCCCCCCAACUGUCCUAUAUUAACUACCAAACAUGCUUCAACUUUAGUCUCCCUACUCCUAUAAAAACACCUUCAGAAAACCUUCUCUUUCAAUUCCCCCCUUUCAAAAAUUCAAUUCAAUGGCUUCAUCUCAAAACAACCAUCUUUUCCACUGGAACUACGCCGAGCUCGGUGACCAUGGCUUCCAAAUCCGUGGCCGAACCCUCUUCUUCACUGUCCUCUUCCUCAUCAUCAUCCUUAUUUCCGUCCUUAUCUUCUUUUUCACCCGAUGGGUAUGUAGUUUCUAUCGAGAAGCGUCGUCUCCAACUUCUCACGCGCCGCCUCCGCCACCGAAUCGUGGUCUAGACGUUGCUGCCAUUAAUGCUUUGCCGGUAACUAUGUUCACGGUGGGUGAAGCGCUUGGGAGUGAGUGUUGUAUCUGUCUCGGUGUGUUCGAAGAUGGUGAGAAGGUUAAGGUUUUGCCGGUUUGUAAACAUACGUAUCAUCCACAGUGUGUUGAUAGGUGGCUCAGUGCUGAGUCGAGUUGUCCGCUUUGUAGAAGUUCAGUCCGAGUAGACUCAGAGCAGCUUCAAAUUGUAAUUCAAUAACAAGGACGACGACAGCAACAACAACCAAAAUUAACAAAAAAAAAUAUUUUUAAUAUUUCAAGAAUAUUUUUUUUGUUUAAAUUAUAUUUUGUAAAUGAGUGCUUUGAAAAAGGAUUGCCAAGUGCUCGAUGAAUUUACUCAAUGAAUUAUUUGUUUUUUUUUAAGAAAUAAACAAAUAUGUUGAUUUGUUGAGUGAAGAAAUGAAAUUCAUGGGUUAUUUUCCUCUUAAAUCCUUCUUUACCAUUUGAAUGCCAUUUUCUUUAAUGGAUUGGGCUUGAAAAUGUUGUUUGAAGAAGUAAAAGGCUCAAAUACGAGAAUAUAUAUGUUUUAAUAUACGUUUUAAUAUAUUUAAACCUAUGUCUCAUUUAUUGAUAAUAACGUCAAUGUUAAUCGAACCAAGACUCAAUCGGUACACUAUCCAAUUUUUAAGUAAAAAAAGAAUGUAGAUAGAAAAUAAGCAAAAAUUUAAGCACACAAGUGAGGCAUUUAUACCUACUAAUUGGAUUCUUUGAUGCAUGCUCAUUGCCUACAUGAAUGGUCGUGUUGGGAUCUUAAUAUGCCUAGUGACUAGUUUUUCGAUCCUAGGACGUUUUAUGCUAAGGUUCUUUCUGAUAAGGUAGUCAAUUAUUGAUAAUUUAUUGUAAUGCUAAUUGAAUUACUUUGUACUCAAGUAUCGAGUUUUUCGAUCUGUACUAACUCUUAUUAAAAUAUUGAUGAUCAAUUUUUUAACUUUCUCUAAAAAUUAAGGACUAAAUUUAAUAUUAUAAUCUCUUGUAUUUUUCCAUUUUCAAUCGAAAUGUCUCAUCAAAAAUUAGUUCAUGAAGUACCCAACAAAAUAGGGAGACUACUUGAAGUAGGAGUGUGGUGGAAUUAUGAUUUGGCAAUCUUUAAAAAAUUCAACUUUUUUAAUCUUUGUUUUAGUAAAGUGGUCAAAGCUUUGCCUUUAAUCACACAAAUCAAAUCAAAUAUAUAUUAUAUUAUGAAAAAGACUACCAUACUACAUAAAUCACUAUCACUUUACUACACACACAUACAUCUAUAAUACUUUAACACUUAACCAUUAAGCAAUCCUUGAACCCCAAAGAGAACAAAUAAAACACAUUAAGCUAUACUUUUUAAUACACGUGGAAAAAAUCUUUUUGAUUCAAAAAAGAAGACUUUUUUUGUCCGAGACUUUCAAGUAUCUACUAGGCAUGAUAAAUGACAACACAAUAUUUUUUAUAUGAAUAUUCGAAUAAAUAAUAUGAAUUUCAGAUAAUAAAUUUUUGAAGCAUCUAUAUACAUCCAUUCUAGAUCUACAAUGAAUAUCAACUACAAAUUUUAUCCAAAUUCACAAAAAGCAGAUUAGAUAUUCGAAAUUUACAAUCUAAAUUGGCAUCAUUAUUAUUUAAUAGUCAUAUUGAACUCUAAGCAAAGAUCUCCUAUAGCUAUUUUCUAUCUCCAUAAAAACUCGAAUAUGAUACUUCGCUUAAAAGAUAUUGAAUUCCUUAUUGUCCAACCCACCAAGCAUUAAUAAAAAAUAGACGUAUAUAUAUAUAGAGAGAGAGAGAGCGCAAGGGUUGAUAUCCUAUUCCAUGUUUUAAUUCCCCGAGUAAAAUUAAGAAUUUGAUUCUUAUAUUAUUUCUUUCUUUUUAAAUAAUUAUAGUAGUCGUUUUCAAAUUAUGGUUCAAAUUUUAACCUAAUCUCGAAAUGCUCUAAUUGAGUCCUCAAAAUAUUAAUAUUAUAUUAUUUAUGUUUGUUCUGCCAUCCCGAGCCAUUAGCUUUAAGAUUGAAUGUUAGCUUGGAUCAAAUGUGCAAUAUAUACAAAAAAAUGUAAAUCAAUUUUUAAACAUUUGAACUUGCAUUUCUUGUUAAGUCAAAUCAAAAUGGGUGGAAAAGUUAAUGUUUUUAACUUUGUCGACAUAGCAUAAAUGUGGAUUGUCAUAUAAUUUUAAUGGUUUUUUUUUUAUUUUUAAAAUUAGUUUUUAUAUAUUUGUUGAAUCUUUAAAUUUUAAAAAAAUUAAUUAAAUACUAACGUGCGAUUCACAUGGCAAUCCACGUGUAUACAACGUCAUCAAAGUUAAGAAACAUCAACUUUCCGAUUCAUUUCGAGGUGAUUUAGCACACACAAAAAAAAAACACAAGUUUAAAGGCUAAAAAGACAAAAGAAUUAAAUGUAAGGCUAAAAUGAUUUUAUUUGAUAAAGUUGUAGAGUCAAAUAAAUCAUUAUGCCUUAAAAAAUAAUCCUAAAUUUUAACGACACAAAUUUUUUUAACACGUCAAAUCUAAAUUGUUUUCUCUUUUAUUAAAUUUAAUUUGUUAAUACAAUAGGUAUAUAUGUGUUUAAAUUUGAUCUAUGCAUUUUAAAUAUUCUCACGUUACCGAACUUUAAUUUAACACUCGUGUUAGAUUGAUGGAAGUAACUAAUUUAAAAUUUAGGCCACAUAAGGCUUUACAUGAAAUUAACCUUUAAAUAAAUAAAACCUAAUAUACUAUCAAAAAUUAAAAGAAUGUCAUAAUUCAUUUUUGGAAGAAUGAUCAAUUUAGUCUUCAAUGUUUAUAUUUUUAUUGUCUUAGCCCUUAUUGUUUUUUGAGUAAGAUUUGGUUAUUAACAUUUCAAAAAGAGUUAAAUUACUUUACUUUUACAAAAAUGUUGACUAAAACAUUACCUUAUUUUACGAUUCUGGCGUGACAACCCACGUGGCAGUCCAUGCGUACUUUGUGUUGACAUGAUACUAUUUGUCUUAUAUGUUAUAUCAACAAAUAAUUUAAAUAGGUAAAACUUUUCAAGAAAUAAAAAAAUAGGUAAAAACAUCUCUCUAGUCCCUUUAAAAUUUUGUUUGGAAUAAUUACAAAUUUAGCUAUUAUAAUUUACAAAUUCUAUCAACUUGGUCAUGAUUUAACAUUUUUUUCCUACAAUGUUUUUAUAAAUGUGUAAAUGUUGAGACUAAAUUUGUUAUUAUAUCAAUCAAAAUUAUAUACAGUUGAUGAAAGACACCAGCAUCAUGAUUAAUCGUCCUUGAUUGCUCGCUUUCAAAAUUAAAAUGGAUUAAACUCAUUCAAUUUUGAGAGGGACUAAUCUGCACAAAUUCGAAAUUGAUAAGAUUUGGAGAGUUCUUUUUACCUAAAAAUUAUAAAUGGGUCAUAAAAAAAAUGAAGUACGUGCGGAUUGCCUUGAGGGCUAUCGUGUUUAAAAAUUUAAUGUUUUAGUUAUUAUUUUUGUUAAAAAAAUCAAUUUGACUCAUUUUUUAGAAGUUCAUAAAAAUCCAUCUCUUUUUGAAAGGUCGAUGACUAAAUUUAAUUUUAAAAAAAGAGAGAAUAAGAGCUAAAUUGAUAAAAAAAAAUAUAAACAUUAAAGAGUAAAUUUAUUAUUAUACUUUUUUGAAAAAAUAAAAAUAAAUGAAAUUGGGCCAAAAUGGGCCUAAGUUAGCUUCACCCAAUAUAUAUAUAAUAACAUUACUAAGGCCUUUCGAACUGGUUGAAGGCCUUUUGGCUUUAGGGUUUUACGCUUCUAUAUAUAAACCUAAACGCCAACUUUUCCUUCAUUUCGCCGCAGACCCCAUUGGACAACAACAAACCAAAGGUUAACCAUGAGAGCUAAGGUGCAAAAAGAAACCAUCACCAUUGUUUUAUUUUAUUUUAACUUUUUAAUUUAGAUAUUGAUAUGGGUUUAUUAUUUUUGUUUCAUUUCAGUGGAAGAAGAAGCGUAUGAGAAGGUUGAAGAGGAAGAGGAGAAAGAUGAGGCAAAGAUCUAAGUGAUACAGUCUUUGUUGUUCUUCAUGGAUAGUUAUUUGAUGGGUACUUUUUUUUUGAAGGAUUUAAAGCUGUUGUUUUCAUUUUCAUGGCUUAGGGUUUUUGUUCUUGUAUUUUUGUUGAACCAUUUUCAUCUACUUGAUAAAUGUUAUUUGAGUUUUUAAGGAUUGAAAUGAUUUGAAUUGGAAAAUGAGAUUGUUUCUUGCUAUCUUUAUGGAAUAAUUAGCACAAAAUAUUUUAGGAUAUUGAAAUGUAUAGAACUGUUGAACUGGAUGGGUUUCACUUAGGGUCGGGUGGUUUUCUGAUUCGGGACAUUUCGGGUUUUUGGUCGGUUUGGUUUGUAUUAGAGUUCUGGGUUUUCUAGUUUAGGGCUUAUUUAGGGUUAGACUAUUACUGUUUUCUCCGUUGGGUCAUUAUAGGUUUUGGUCAUUUAGGGUUCUUUGUUUUAGGUUUGGGUCGAGUUCAAUUUGUGAGUUCUUUGUUGUUAAAUAGAGUUGGGUCUUGGGUUAGGAGUGGUUUGGGUCCAUUUCGAGUUUGAGUUUGCGUAGAUUCAAGUUGUGAAUUCCUCCGUGACCAGAUAGAGUUGGAUCGAAAUUUUGGUAGGAUUGAUUAAAUUUGAUUUGUGUUUAGAUUGAUAGGGUUGUGUUUCCAUGUUCGGAUCAUUGAAAGGUUUAGAAAUUUUUUAUCAAUGCAUAUUGUUCAAUGCUCAAGUGUAUUGCAAUCUUUGUGCAAUAAUUGGCCAAGUAUUUUUAGGAUGUGAAAUGUGUAGAACGAUGGAAUUGGACUGUUGCACUAAGUGUCGUGUCGUUUUGGUCGGGUCGAACAUUUCGGGUUUUGGAUUGCUUGAUCCAUAUUGUGUCUUGAGAUUUUUGAGUUUAGGAUUAUUUAGGUUAGGUGAUUAGGGUUUUUAGGAUGUGUCAUUGCAAGAUCGUUUCAGAUUCUUUGUUGUUUUAGGUUCGGGUCAAUUUGGAGAUUGAUUUGUAUUCAACAAUGUUAAGCAUGAAUAUUCGAGUUUGAAGUUUGAACAUGAAAAUUGCUUGAAAUUAUUGGAGCAAUAAACCCAGCGAAGAUGAUAGCCUAUUUAUAACCUUGAAUGGGUAAAAGUUAGACUUGCUGGGUUAAUUGUCUAUGCUUGAACUUCUAUUUUAAAAAAAAUGAGAAUUGAAAAAUGGGAUCGGGUAAAACUUAAGGUUCGUUUUUUAUAUGAUCUAAGCUUUGAGCAAUAAUUUAUUUUACUUGAGCUUGGUUCGGUCUAGCUUGAAUAUUUUAUGUUAUAAAAAAUAAUUAUAAUAAUUAUAUAUAAAUAUAUUUAUAUUUAUAUUAAAUCAUUAAAUUCAUUAUCUAAAGCUUAAAUUAAUAACUUACUAAACUAAAUAACUCAAUUUAAAAUUUAUAAAUUAUAUUUAAUACAAUAAAAUAUUUAUUAUAUUUAUGUUAUGUUUUUUAAUUUAUAUAUAUUUUUAAUAUGUUUACAUUUUUUAUAUUUUAGUGAUAUUUAGUGCAUUUAAUAUAUUAUAUAUUUAAAAAAAUAUUCUUAAAUUUAGAAAUUAAAUAUGUGUGGAGAGGGUCGGGUUGGGGUUUACUUUUUUAAAAUUCGGUUUAGUUUGGGUAAAAAGACUUAGGGUGAGUUUGGAUGGACGAUUGGGUACGGUGCAGUGCGUUUAGUUUACUUUUUGUCUCACGUUACAGUAUCGUUACAGUAUCUAAUCUCACCGCCACUGUUAUUUUUACACUAACUGCAAGUAAGCGCACUGCCCAUCUAAAUUCACCUUUAAUCAAUUUUUUAGAUUAGGCAUGAAAUUAAUAUCUUGCAUAGACUCGGUCUGUGAAUACUUCCAGCAAAAAUAUGGUGGAGAAAUAAUUACUUAGUUUGAUGGGCUUAGUAGUUGAUAAUGGAUAAAUAUUUUUGAUAAUUAUGGUACAAAUAAUGCAUAUCUAAGUUUUUUGAGUGUAUCAAAGUCUAUGUAAAAAUUUAAAAUAUGAAAUGAAUUUAUCAGUCAAUUUUUGAUUGCUUCACGUCACGACUAAUUUAUAUGAACUAAGGAAAAUACAAAGGCAAAGCAUCAAUCAAUCAAAAAAGCAAAAAUGGAGUAAUUGAAUGUGGAUGACUUAGAAUUGAUUUUGGUUUGAGUCAAUUUGAAUGGGGUAAAUUUUAGGGUUUAGUUCUUGGUUUGAGGUCUGGUUUUUUUGAUUGGAUCAUUUUGUACUCAUGUCAUUCAAGCUUGAAUUGUUUUGUUUCUAGGCGGUUUUGGGUUUGGGUUGGAUGGUUUCGAGUUGGUGACAUUUUUAUCUUUAAAUAAUUUAUUUAAUUCAGAUCAAGUUUGGUUUUCGAAAUCAAGUCAUAAUUGAGCAAGAAACCAAUAAGAAUUUGCAUUGAUGGUGUAUAUAUAUUGGGUUUUGGAUUUUUUUUUCAAGUUUGGGGUUUUAGAUUUUCAGAUUUUGGGUUUGAAUAAAGUUAUUAUUUAUUUGUAAGCCCUCCAUUAUUUUUUAUUUUACUAAAUACAAAGCGAUCUGUUUUUGCUCACGGACAAAAACACCUACACUGACAAUGUAUUUAAUAUUCACCUUGUUUAUGACGGAGUAAACUAAGAAGACAAGAACAACCUUUGUCUCUUACUCCUUAUCCGAUAAUUCGAUUUCGAUUCAUCCGAUGAUAAAGCAUUUAUCUUGUUCACAACUACAUUCAAAGAUUGUUUUAGAUUGCUUGAAACGCCUUCUCUAUUAUCACUCUCAUUGCAAAGGAUCAAAUUGCUUUUGGUUCUUCCACCAACACUUGAAAUUUCAGCUUCCACAAUGCUAAGCCUUAGCCCUUUGAGGACUCGGAUGAGUUCCGAAAACACUUCCGGCCGAUCAUCGCAACAAAUCGAAACCUUGAUGAAUGUCUUGUCUUCGGGAACAUUGUAAUCGACAGAUACUUCAUCGGUUUCGGACGGUAUAGCAAAAGCUUUGCCGAUUUCUGUUGCUUUUCGUUUUAGAUCCUUGACUUGCUCUAUUGCACUUCCUAAUAAGGCUGCCUUGUCCAUCUGAACAAUAAAGGGUCAAAUUAUGGUUUUGGUCCUACUAUACAUAAAUCUUGUAUUUAAUCCUUAAUACUUUAAUUUCACAUAGUUUGACCACACUUUACUUUUAUAAUUUCAUUGGUUAAUUGGUUAGUCCAAUUAAUUAAGACUUUCAAAUUUUCUAGUCAAAUGUUGACAUGGAUUUUUUUAAUAAAAAAAGUGAUAAAAAUAUUUAGUCCUUAAAUUUAGUAAUAUCUUUCAAUUUGAUCCCUAUAUUUUUUUUUUGUUCAAGCUAGUCCAAGAACUUUAGAACUUUUCCCAUGUUGGUCUCUGAACUUAGAUUACAUUAAGGUAAUAUGACGUGGCACUUUGGGGUUUUGCCAUAACAAUAUCUAGAAAUUUUAAUAUAUAUAAUCUAAAAAUACCAAAAAAUUUUAAAAAACUUUUUUAAAAAAAUCAGGUGAUAAUGUGGCACAAUUUUAGAGCACCAUGUCAUCAUACCUUAAUGAGAUCCAAGUUCAAGGACUACAUUGAGAAAAGCUAUCAAAUUCCAGAUCUAGCGUGGACCAAAAAAAUUUCAAAAAUCAAGCUGGAAAAAAUUGUCAAGUUCAAAGAUUAAAUAAAAAAGCCGUUCCAACACACAAAAAAGAGUCCAUGUUAACAUGAUAAGUAAGGAUUCUUUUUAAAAAAAAAUUAAUCAAGGAUUAUUUAGUAACUAGCAGUAUUAUAAAAAUAGAGGACAAAAUUAUGUCAAAUUAAAUAUAGGGACUAAAUUAAAAAAUUGAGCAUAAUGAAGGGACCAAACUCAAAAUUUAACCACCAAUAAAGAAUUGAUCCGAAUAUCAUUGACAAUGUAAAAGAAGGCAACUUUGGAGCAAACUACACACCUUGUUAGACUUGGGAAUCAAUUUCCUCAAAGCUGUAAGCUGCGAGUUAAUCCGAUCCCUCCGACGCUUCUCGGCUUCACUAUGGCUCUUGGAAGCCACCGUAGCUUUAUCAGGUAUCUCUGGCGAAGUAAACCCGUGGCAACGAACAGAGCUAGAAGCUGAGAAAAGAGGUUCCAUUGGCCAUGGAACUAUGAAAGGAGGCUCAUUGCUUAUAGCAGCAGCAUUGCAACCAUCACAAUUUGGAGGUUCAAGCAAGCUAAAAGGGUAACAAUUCUCCAUUUUCAGCUAAUAAUAUAAGAAACCAACAAUACCAAAAUGCUCAUCUUGGCCUUCUUAUGGAGAUGAGAAAGACUGUUGGUAGAGCUAAUAAUGUGUGGUGAUUGGUGUGAUAUUUUUGAACUUUUGAUUGGUCAAAUGAAAAUAAUGUGUUGCCCAUUAUUCGGUUGUCAUUUCAAUAAGGAUAUCAAUUUGGAUUUAACCUUUUUCUUUCUCUUUUUUUAGUUCACAUUAAAUUAAGAGUAAAGUCUGGGUCGAAUAGUUAAAUAUGUAAAUAUGUUUUGCUUUUUUUGGGGAGUGGGAUAAAUUAUAUCGGUGUUACUCAAUUAUUAAUAAAUUUCUUUUAAUUAUCUAAUUAUGGAAAGAUACAAAAUAACCACCCAAAAAUAUUUUACUAAUAGUUGUGUGACUACUAGUGCUGCUUACCCUGUUUUUUUAUCAACAAGCUAGAAAUCUAGCUUAUGAAACAUCGAACUCUUGAAAGAAUAUUAUGUCAUCAUACCUUAACAGAAUCCAAGUUUAGAGAUCAAAUUUUUUUAAAAAAAUAUCAAAAAAAUCACCAAAUAUAAAGACUACAAAAUUAGAACCAGAGAUCUUACUUAAAAAGUAUCCAAUGUUUUUCCACUCAUCCAACAAAGGUUUGGAGUUUACUUUUUUUUACGUAUUGAUGCCUGAUGGAGUAUUACAGCUUUGGCAAAGGCAUUCAAUACAAUGAGUGUCAAAAAAAAAAAAUGGACAACAAAGAGAAUUGUGCGGAAAAUACAUGUGGAAAAAAAUGAGAGAAUGAUUUUUUUUUAGCCCUCCAAUUUUAUGAAAAAAUCAUUUUAACCCCUCAUUUAAUUUUGUCUUUUUUAGUUUUUAAACUUAUAUUUUUUUUCAAAUCACUCAAAAAUGGAUGGAAAAAUUAAUGUUUGUUAAAUUUGCUGAUGUGGCAUACACGGGGAUUAUCAUGUGGAUAAUAUGUCAGCAUUUAAUUAAUUUUUUUAAAUAUUAAAAAAUUAAAAAUCUUUUAUAUUUUUUAUACCUUUUAAUAAUUUUAAUGAUUUUUUAAAUUUCAAAAAAUUAAUUAAAUGCUGACAUGUCAUCUAUAUAGCAAUCCAUGUGUAUGCCAUGCCAGCAAAGUUAAAAAGACAUUAACUUUUUCAUCCAAUUUGAGGUGAUUUGACAAAAAGCGCAAGUUUAAAGACUAAAAAAUGUGAAAAUUUAAAUUAUAGACUAAAAUGACUCUUUUUAUAAAAUUGGAGGACUAAAUAAGUCAUUAUACAAAAAAAUUAUUGUUCUGAGCUGCUUUUCAACCAUGAAUUCAUUGACAUGUAUUCAAUUAUUUCACUCCACAUUAAUUUCGGGUUCAAAUCAUUUUAAGUUUUGUCAAAUCAAAUCUUUUUAAAUUUAAAUCAUAUCAAAUUCUAUCACUUGCACGAACCAUUUUGAGUUUAUCAUAAACAUAUUUGAAUUAUUAUCUUUUUUUUAUAAUUAAAUCAAAUUUGAGAAUCCCAAAUCCUAUCAUGUUUUACUUUCUUUCUUUUAGUUGAUGCUUAUCUAUGAACUAUUUUAUCUUUUUCUUUUUUUUUCAAAAGAAUGAAAAAGAUGUCAUUGAACCCCACAUUGAAGUGAAAUGCCUCUCUUCAGCUUUCUUAGAUUGGCCAAUAUUUAUGUCUAUACAUUAUUUGUAGUCUAUAAUGUAGUAUUUUUAGCUAAUAUUGUGAGAUAAAUUUGUUAGAUUUUUGAAUUAUUAAUUCUUAUUUCAAACGUAAUUGAAGUGUCUCUAGAUAAGGUUGGGUCGGAAAUUUUAUUAUAAAAUUUUCUUUUUAAUGAAAAAAAAACCCUUAUUUUUUUGUAUUUUCCUAAGUUUUUUUUUUCUCCUCCUACAUUAUUUAUCAAAGUUUUAUUAUUUUUCAAGGAGGAAAAAAAAAUAUAAUUUUGGUGGCUUUGUUUGUCCUCUCUCACUUGAUUCUCUAUCCAAUCAUAGAGUGCAUAUAAGCAAACAAAGUGGGCUUAAAUUACCAUCACCAAUUUAGCCACAAUGUAGGGACCUCUUCAUUCACCAUUCAAAUUGUAAACUCAUUAGAUUGAUAUGAAAUCUCAUGACAUUUGGGUUUGUGUGGUGCCAAUGAUUUCUUUUUCUCCUUUCUUGUUUUACCUCAAAUUAGUUGUGCAAACUAAACAUUGAGUCACUCGAAUCUAAAUGCAAUCUAGUUUCAUAAUUAGAUUUGACUUAAAUAAAAAAAAAUUUUCAAACUCAAAAUGAGUAGAAAUUGUUUGAAAUUGAAAUUUUUAAAUAGGAAAUCUAAGUACUUAUAUCUUAGAAUUGACCCAAAUCUAAAAUGAUUCGGUUCAUAAUGACUUGACUCAAAACUAAUUUAGCCCGCCUCUCUUGAUAUUUGGAUGGGGUGGUGCCAUUGAUUUCUUCUUCUUUUCACUUAAAUUCAUUCUCAUUCAAACUUAGAUAGAAAUUGUACUUAAUUAAUCCAUGUAUAAAUUUGACCCAAUCCAACUUGAUCAUAAAAUGUCAACAAUCGAAUUUACCAACUCAAACAUGAAAAUGAAUCAAACCUAGAUAACCCAAUUAGAAGAUGACCGGAGUUGUAAUCGAGCAUAGUACCAAAAUACUAGCAAGGUUGAGCUCGAUUCUAAUUUAGUACUUAAUAUUUGGCUUGAACUCAAUCGAACAUCAAUUUUUGAGCUCGAGCUCAAUCAAAACUUAUCUAUUUAUUUUUGUACUUAAGCUCAAUUAAGCUAAUUCAUAUCCAAACUUAAGCUCGUUCAUACUUAAGCUCUUUAUAAUAAGAGUAAAAAUUAUAUUUUGAUAAUAUAAAAACAUAUAUUUAAAUGAAAAGCUCAAUUAAGUUUGGCGGUCAUUCAAAUAGAGUAUUAUAGUGCUAAAAUUCACUUCAACUGAUAGCUCAAGCAAUUCAAGCUCAAGUCCGUCUCAAUAAUUACCGAAUCAAAUUCAACCUUGAUUGAGAAAUCCAAAUGACUCAAAUCAAAAACUAACUCGAUGACAAAAUAAUCCAAUCCAAAACCAAUCUAGGACACUCAAGCCUUGUUUAAUAAACCAUUGAAAAAAACCAAAUUAGCUAAAAAUCAAUAUUUUCAGUGAUUUAAUUUAAGCAUUUUGAUAAUCCAAACUAAAAAAGAAAAAAAAUUGACAGAAUACUUCAAUGAAAAAGGGUUGAAAACAACAAGUAAAUAAAGAACUACUCAAUACUCAUCACUUAUGGAAUUUUCUCAAUUAUUUUUAUUCUCUUAGCAUCCUAUAAACAUUUUAUCUUUAAAAUUAUUAUUUAUCAAACAAUCUAAUUACAUUUCUUGCUUAAUUUUAAGUGGCGGAGUAUUUUUUUUAAUCUACAAACAAUAUUGAAAAAUAGACCUCUAUUUCUAAAUUAUUUAUUUUUUAAUAAUUUAUUAUACACCCAUAGAAUAUUUAUAAAUCAUGUCCUUAUUUAGAAGUCUAAAAACUCUACUGUUUAGUUGACUGGUCUACUUCUCCCCCCAAUGGACGUCGGCAAGGAGCACGAUGAAAAUAUGCGAAGACAUAAGUUCAUGCUCCAAAAUGGACUUAGCCGCAAAGUGUUUCGUCCAGCAAUUUAAUGCACGGAAGCCGCCCUCUCAGCUGCUAAACAGUGGUAAAAAUAAUAAACUUAAAAAUUUAAAACUUAGAUUCAUUUGAAAUAAUAACUUCCGUUUUAUUAUUUUAUAAUAUGGUAGCAUAAUGUAUAUAAUACCAUGAUAUCUAUCUAUUAAACAUAUAUUUAAAUCAUUAAUAAAAAUAUAACUGUUUAGUAUAUAUUAGAAAAUUAAAUAGGAUCAAAUCUAAGUAUAUUUGAAUUUGAUAUUUACAAAUAUAAAUAAAUUUCAAAUAUAUAUUUUAAAUUUAGUUGAUUUUAGACAACCAUGUAUGUUGUUGAAAUCAUCCAAACUUGACUCAAUUCAAAUUCGAUAGAAGUACUAAGGAAACCGUUGUAUUAAAAAUAGAUUACAUUUAAAAAUAAGUAAAUUAAUUAAAUUAAAAAUCAAAUUAAUCAUUUCUAUUAAAAAUAAUUUCAUCUAUUUUUACUGUUAAAAACUAAUAGAUAUGCCACAUGUACUUCAUUCUAAGCUUCUAGCAUAUAGAUACAUAUUUUUAAUAGAUAAUACAUAUAUGGACUAAUUUGCAUUUUUUUUUUAGAACAGAAAUAGUACUUUUACUAAUAUCAAAGCAAUUUGCAAGGGAAAAAAAUGACAUGGAAGUGUAUCAUUUCAUAUAUAUACUCAGAUCAAUUCGGAAAUGGAAAGGAAAUAAUAAAAAUACAAAUAUUCAUGAAACCCUUAGACUACCCUUUCUCUAGUCUCUAGUAUAUUAGCAGCCAAAAAAUGCCUCUUUUGCUACCACCAAAAAGGAGAAAAAUAAUGAGGGCAAACUACAAAAUCAUUAUCACAUCCCUCCAAAAAAAAAACACUAAAAUAGCACAUUAUUCCAAAUUGAUAAGAACUACGGUUUUUUCUCCUAAAAAUAACCUUCAAUAAAAAACAAACCAUGCUCUUAAGGCUUAAUAGCUGCCCAUUGGUGGCAUACCAAAAGGUGGCAUCGAAGGCGGCAUUCCCAUUCCUCCCAUGGGUGGUGGUGGUGGAGCAAAACCUCCUCCCAUUCCAGGCAUUGGUGGUGCAGGUAAGGCUAGAGGUAGCAACUGAGCAUACAUGUUCUGCAAUGAACAAAGGCCAUUUAUUAUAAUCCAAGGAAGGGUAAACUGGUAAAGUUGUCGCUUCAAUUUUUCUCGGUAUAAUUUUACCUGUUGUGCAAUCACUUCCUUCUCUUCUUGCUCUUUGGCUUUUACUUCCUUUUGAGCCUCGAUUUUAUCCUUGAUAAGUUCAUCGACUUUGCCGGUAUAUUCGCGGAUAAACUGGAGAAAUACAGGACUCAAAUAAGGUUCCAACACAAUGUGUCCAAAAUAAGAAACAAUUGAAACCAAAUGGGCAUAAAAUGAGAAGUGUGAAUCAAAGCAAUCACCUGCAACAGAUACGGGAAUGCGAAGUCGAUCAUAUUGUGAAUCCAGGCUAGCUCGAGAACAACAUCUGCUCGAAGUAAGUCAUAACAAACAAAGAGGCAUGAUGCAAAGCAUUCCUUCUUGCCCUGUAAAAUGAACAUCGACGAUGAAAUUAUAUCCAAUUCAAACAAGAAGCAACAAUACCGUGACGAUAGAAGAAGAUAAACUUCAUUUUCCAUGUAAUCCGGCACGGUUAACAAGCAGAACAGACCAAACUAACAUAAUAGGUCUACCGGUUGAACAAGAAUGUCUAACACAAUACUUAGGGAUGAGUUUGGGUACCUGUUCAAUAAAGUAAACAAGUAACUCCUCGGCAAGUUCACGUUCACCAGACUGUGACGCUGUUUCCAUUGCAUCUUUGUAAUGGUUGUCUUUCUUUGACAAUGCAAUGGACUGCUUCCAUCUGCCAGCCUUCUUGUAAAUGUAUGCAGCAACUCGCCUCAUCUCCAGCAGCUCAUGUUUCUCGAUCUGCUCAAGCAAUUAGGAAACAAAUCAGAAACCGACCUAACAGCAAACAAAAACACAACUAACAAUACUUCACCUUUUGUGCAAGACCAAUCUGAUCAAAGUUAUCAUGCAAGUCGAUAGAUUCUCUCAAUCUAUCGUAAUCUUCUUCCUCUACAUAAAUCUCAUUCAACGCCUCAUUUACUGCUGACACGUUGUUGCUCUGAACAGCAACCAUGUAAGGCUUCACAAUUCGCAGAUGACCUGCCUGAAAUAACCAACCCAAAAUGCAUUAAAAAAAUGCUUAAGCAAGUCAAUAGUCUUAUAUCAAAAUUAGAUCAUUUUCAUCCAAAUUCAAACCUUUCUCAUGAUAUCAACAACACGAGUGUGGUCCACACGAAGUGCAAGCACGUUCAACAUAUCAUUUAUGAGAUCAGGGUGCUCUUGCAAGUAGAAGUGGACAGCCUUGUAAUAUAGCUCAACACUAGCAACUUUGACUAUAAUGUCUUUGAACUGCAUAUGAUCCCAUGAUUCGGGAGAGUGGUUCAUCACGGUAGUUGCAGCAUUGUCAAACUCGUCGUAUUGAAUGUAUAAAUAGGUAAGUUCCUUCCAGUGCUGCUGUUCAUCACAAGCUCUUAUCAGCUUGGGAAUGUUGAGACGAGUAGAGAACAAUUUAAUGUGCUCCAUAAGCUUCUCGGGUCGGUAUCUGGCAUACAAAACUCCCAGUUCAGUAAAGAUCCCCAUAUGUGCACGUUCCAGUCCUAAACCACUCUCCAUAAGAGAGAUCAACUCAUUGAAGCAUCCUCUGUUCUGAUAGUAUUCGCUAACUUCUUCCAAGUCGUCCACCUAAAAAGUCAACAAACACAACGGUCAAAAUCAUCGUGGACAGUCAUACACACGUAUUACAUACUUUCUUGUUCCAAAAAUUUGUGAUUCAUAUGAAAGUAAACUCACCUGUAUGAUGAUGUUAAGACCACAUAUCUGUGCCAAUCGGAAUUCUUCUGCAUCAACACAAGCAAAGCAAACCUCCUUCCAUGUCUUUGCACUGUUUGCUUUUCGUGCUGCAUCAACAGCACCUUGGAAUUGUUUAAGUCUUACCAGUGUAACAGCCAAUUUGGCCCAGUUAGAUAUAAACGCAAAUAUUAUUUUUGCAGCUUCGUAUAGGGCUUCAUCGAACAAGCGGUCACCAACAUUUUGAAGAUUAGCAACAUUUGGUAUGAGAAUGAAUUCUUCAAUUUCGCCGAGUCUAUCAAUCUUUGCAUAGGCAUAAAUAAGUUCACCAUCCACCUUGGGCUCUUUGACCUUCUGCCUAACCAUCAGAAGAUACCUCACCAAAUCAGGGUAGACAUCAGCAUCCUCGGAAGCUCGGAUAACAUCAAGGAACUGGGUAGCAUCAUCGGCGCGAAUAAAAGAUUCAAUGGCAUCGCUCACCAGCCCCUCCCUCAGUUGUGCCUUUGCAACCUGACUCCAAACAGCAUCUUCUUCAACUCGGAAUGCGAAUUCCACAGCCCGAUCAAUGCUUCUAAUAUUGUCCAAUAAAACAUUGACGGCCUGCACGUUUAAGUUGAACUUUUUGAAGAUCGCAAAAGCUUCUUCAUACAGUUGGGCUUCAACGGCCACUUCUCCAACAGCAGGUCCGUCAAAAUUAUCCAACCUAGUGAUAUAAUCCAUAACCCUAGAUGGAUCCGCCUUAAUAGCCGUCAAAAUAAGAAGAUUCUGUAGAUUGAAGUUCCCACUGAAUGCAGAGUUUUGGAGUACAAUCUUCUCAAGAAGCUCAAUAAGUUCAUGGGGCAGGUCAGCUGUCAUAAAAGCUUUAACAGCUGCAGAGACUUGUUCGGGACUCUUGCUCUCUGGCAAAGCAGUCGAUACAACCUGAUCUAUCAGCUGCCUUCUAUAUUCAUUUUCGGGAUUUAGAACCUUCUCCCAAAGAUCACCAUCCAUCCUUUCAACAACAUACCUGUGAUCAAAGGGUGAUGGACAAUUAAGCCACUUUAAAAACAUAGGAUGCAUUAUCAACCUAUCAGAAAUAAACUAAAUAAUUACAUACCUAGCCUGCAAUUUAAACAAGGAGUUCUUAUUUGUGACGUUUAUAAGUUCAUCGUCACAUUGUCCUCUUCGGUAUGCUACAACAGCCAGGGUGGGAUCACGCUUCUCACAGUACUUACCAACAACCCGAGAAUCAUAGUAAGGGUUGGUAGUGAGGAAGUGCUCUGGAUUGUUAUUGCUGUCAAUGAUUAUUUUACCCAGAGCAUUGUGGACAUGCACAUCUUGGCUUCCCUCACUCACAAGAUGCUCCAAGAACUGUGUUAGUAAACGAAGUCGAUUUCUGGAAAUCACAUGCCGAAAAAUUAGAAUCACAGAGUAAUACAGGUGGCAACAAGGACAAGAAAUGCAGAAAAAAAUUCACCUCUUCUCACAUUCCUCCACAAGAGGCUCAACAGGAAGCAAAGAACGGACAGAGAGAAUGAGACCCUUUAUAAAGUCUUCAGGACAUUCAUCAUCUAGCAACUGGCCCACUACCAAAGGAGCAUUCCCUGGGUUCACCUAUCAAAAGAAGCAAACAAGUUCUCAAUUACUUGAGCUCAAAUUGAAGUCAUAUAGUAUGCCAGUAAAUAGAUAAAUAGGUAGAAAUAUCACAAACCUUCUGAACAUAACCUUCAAUGUAACGGAGCAUAUUAUUUGUGUAGAGGUAGUGAGUGAGAUCCGGAACAAACCCAAAUCGAUCACAAACAUUAAUCAAUGGCCUAGCAUCCGGAAGUUUGGCCUCCAUCAAGAAGUUCUUUGUCUUUUCGGCAUCAUAAAAGUUCGAUUCCCUGGUCACGCGCUCAACCUCCUUUAUUUGUCCAGUUUUAGCAGCUGCCUCAAUGUACUUAAAGUGUAUAUCAGGGUCCUCACUGUCCCAUAAUCGGAAAUAAACAUCUUAGUAAGCUUAGAAAUGACUAUGCUCUAAGCAAUCAAGCGAAGGAAACCAAAUUUGCUAAAUAACUUACCUUGAGCUCAAAUAUGAGCCCAGGAAAAAGUACAAUCCUUCAUACGACUUAAACUGCUCAAAAAUUUUUAUGCAAGAAUCAACACCCAACUGUUCACAAUACUCUUUCGCAACCUGCACAGACACAGAACUUAGCCUUUGGCAAUCUCUAAAAGAAUUAGAGUACAAUCAGACAACAUCCCUUACCUGCACAAUUAUUUGAAGGUUGCCUCUAAGAUUAACCAGUAGGAGGUCCUUCAUGCACUCCAAAGCCCAUUCACGUGAAAGAGUACCAAAAAACUCAACAAGUGACUGUAAACAGAAGUCUGGUUAAAAACAUGUCACAAGCUUCUAUAGUCUCUAAGUUUAUCAAGAGAUAAAGAUAGUGGACAUCAUUGUACCUGUGGCUCAAUAGCAUGUGUAUUCACAAUGACACGUUUAAUAUCUGGCAACUCAGAGUAAUGCUGCAGAAAAGGCAUUACAUUUAAUCAAUGACAUCAAUAUACUGUUAAAGCAGUGUAGAAAAUCAGACAUAAUGCAACAAGUACUAGUUUUAACAAGAUACCUGCAGAGCUCGAACAUACAGACCAGCUUUCUCACAAAGCUGAGCAAUUCGGGGACGAUCAUAGUGACUGAACAUUCCAUUUGCUAAAAUGGCAUCAGCAACAUUUGGAAAAGUUACUAGAUUGAUUUCCAAGACCUGUAGAGAAAAGAUUGUUAUUAAACUAAGUACAUUAUUUCAAGAAAGAAGGAAAAUAUAAAACAAAAUUAGACUAGCUUAACAAGCAGCAUUCAAAGAAAUAACCUUUGUUUGGAGAAAAGCAUGCUCUGGUAGAUUUGGUUUCAAAACAUCCAAUAGAAAUGCAGUAGCUUCCCUUAUCAAGUUCCUCUGAAAAUAAAGAAAGAAAUCCAAAGAAAACAAAUAUCAUGUGUUACUCAGGAAAAGAUUUUAAUUUUCACAAACAAUUCUAUAAGCAACAGACCUGAAGGAAAAGAUCAGUAAUGGUGUUGUAAUCAACUGGACAGCCUCCCUCCAUUUGAGACAUCAUCAAUGCAAAAUUAACAGCUCCCUGCAAGUAAAACAAGUGAUAACUCAUCCACCGCCAAAAAGAUUUUUAGAAAAUGAAAAUUACACACAUUCAAUCCAGUCAAAAGGUCCAUAAUACUAACAUCUUUCGGUAGGCAAACAAUAAAAAUGUUUUUCUACUCAGAAAACAGAACAAUCAUAAAAGUUGACUUAAUAGACUUUGAUAAGGAGAUUUAGCACAUAUCAAUUGCUCAUAUGAUUUGACAUGCUUCAACACCUCAAACAAUAAAAAGUAGAGAAAACAGAAACGAACCUGUGGAUCUGUACGGAGAAUUGUUUGCAAAAGGAACAAGUAGUCAGGAGUGUACCCAACCUGAGGAAAACAAUUCAGUCAUGAAUAUUUGACGCAUACAAUAACUGAAAUAUAAAGAACAAGCAGGAGAAAUACUUGACCCCACCCCACCCACAAAAAAAAUUAUGCUGUGAAAAAGGAGAUCAGAUAUCAUCACUCCAGAAAAUGCCAAAAAAUAUUGUGGUAAUCACCUGCUUUGAGUAAAUCAAGAUCUUGUCAAACUCCCUACGUUCAGCAAAAGCAGCAACAACUUUUGGAGUUGCCCUUGCUUUAAUAUAUAUUUUCAGUGCAAGAUCAUUAUCCACAGUCUACAACAAAAACAAAGCUGUAAUUAGAAUAAGGCAAAAAAAGUGUCAAAUCAUUUCCAAUUUUCUUGAAGUUUAAAUUCAGAUAAAACUGAAUAAAUUACUGAUAGACUACUAUUCCAGUGGGUAAAAAAAUCAAACCUUCACAAGGUCACCCAAUUCUUCACUGCAUUCCAAUUUAUCUUCAGCCAACCAAUUCUCCAGAAGGUUCUUCUUGUUUUGGUUUACCACAAGCCGAGAUAGUUCCAAUGACUCAAAUGCAUUGAGCUUCCCCCAUGUUAGAAGGAUACUAAAGUACUGCAACAGUGGUGCAGUCUGCCCAGCUUGCACAGGAACACUCUGCAGAAAUCAAGUAAUGGAUUCUGCUUUAGAUAAAAUCAACAGAACAGUACACAAUAACAAGUAUCUAAAUGAUAAAUAAAGCAAAACGAAACCUGAAACUUGGCAACCGUAUCAGGAGUGCGAAGGAUCCCUUGUGGAGACUCUGCAGCAAGCUCAGCAGCUUCUUUAUACUUAGUUUGAGCAAACAACUCUUGAAAACGUUGGACAACCUGAGAAAUCCAAGAUCACAGAGUCAACAUUACUGUUAACAAAGGUGCAGCAUCACUAACUCUAAUCAUGCAAUAAGAAGACAAUCAGAAAAUAGGCCACUAAAGUAAAUCAAGAUACAAAAGCCAGCAUGUUUUCAAUCUCAGCAUAUCAGUGAGAUUGAAGAAACCCCACAUCCAUGAAGGAAGUUACCACAAAAGUAUCCCCCCCACAAGUUAAAAAAAUAUUAUUCCCUUGGAUAUUAUUAUCUAGCAACUAAAAAUUGAUAAUGCAAACAUUCACAAACAACAGACCAGAAAAUAUACAAAACAAUUCACUUACCAAGUUCUCUGCACCAGGGAGGUUUCCUCUUUUAGCAAGAUUGACAGCAAGCUCCAAGUUGUUCAACUGAAACAGCAAACAACCCAAAAGAAUCAUCAAGCUAGUAUGUCUAGUUUACCAGAAAACAGAAAAGAAAAGGUACAAAAACAUACUUGACCACUAACAAAUGGCACUAUUGUUGCUUCAUUUACAGUAGCCAGCAACACCUGACCUCGCCUGUUGAUGGCAUAAAACCCUCCAACUGCUGAAGCUUCGGAGGUUAAAAAUAUUGGAUCUGGACUGAUUCUAUUUCUGUAUACAGCAGUCGCUGUCUCCAGAUCAUAAACAAACAGCAGCCCAAGUUUGGUGAUAACAUAAAUCAAAGCAUAUUUGUGGGAUAUCUGCCAAUUAACAGAAAAUUGUUUCAUUAGUGGCACAAAAAUAAACAAUUUACAAAUAAUGUAAACCAAAUCUGAAUCUAAAGAUACCUGCAUGGCAACAGGAAAAUCAUCUUGAAAAUCUGGCGGGAAGAAUAGAUCUGCCUGUUUCUUAGAAAACGAUGACUUACCUGCAAAUAUAUAUUCUGUUAGAAAAUAGGAUAUAUAAUUGAGUGAAGGACACACAACAAAAUAUUAUAGUUAUUCAAGAAUGGUUCAUUCAUGAUUAAACACAAAACCCUUAAAAGUAAGUUGGAGUAGUCUUGGUUGUGAUUAGAGCUUGAAAUAAAUACAAAUUUAAGGUUUCUGAGCUAAAACCUAACAUAUACUGCAAAGUAGUGUCCCAACCAACUUAACUUGCCAGAACUCAAAGUACUUUCUGAUUGUACUUUGAAUUUUUUUAUCAUGUGAAAAGUUUAUGGAAAACCUUUUUAUUUCUUUUGCAUUCAUUUAAAAAAUACCUUCAGUAACCCCUCAUAUAUAAUGAGGAGAUAGGAAACUGACCUGGCUGGGCACCCAGCUCAAUUACAUGCAACUUUGAUGUAAUCUGGCCAGCAUUAAAACUCUUGGUGGCAAACGAAAUAAGAAUAGAUGGAUUCUCAUUUCCUGGGACCUGCUCAGCAGAACCAAGCAUAUAUGAUAAGCUACUUGUUAGAUCAGCAUCUAUAACAUGUAGUGAAUAAAGUAUAAGAAAUACCCUUACCUUAAAUUGUGCAAAUGAAGCAGCAUGUGCUUCAAGAGCUUGGCUACGCUGCUGAUCCACAGAGAAAAGUUGCAUGUUCCCCUUGACCAAUUGUGGCCUCUAAAUGAAACAAGACACGUAGGGUAAAAUCAGAAUUUUAUAGUGGCAGCAGAGGUGGUUUUCAAAAGAAAGAAUUUGUUCAUAGUAACGACUAUGCAAGGAACAACAUUUCCAACAAUAGAGAGACAGAAUGGGGAAAAGAGAGAACUAAAAAGGGGUGCAAGGGAUGCAAGCCCAAAUGACACCACAAGAGACAAGAUAAAUCAAUAAAUUAAUUCACAGAGUUCACUUCAGCGGUUUCAACCAUAGGAAACAUAGCAACCAAAGCAGCAUGAAGAACAUUUUAGGCUCAUUUAGCUUAGCAAAAUAUUUUGAAUAUGUUACUUCAAAUGUCACAGUUUUCAAAUUCCAAAACGUUAAUACAAAUGAAGCAACAACCUCCUCUUCAAUGCAAAAAUAAUCACCUUUAGAAAGCACUAAUAGGGCAAACAUACCUCAGGUGCACCAGGGGCAAUUCCAAUCAAAACCAACCACUUCUCUGAAGGGUCACAUUUAUAGUUUAUUAUCUGAUUGUUUGCUAAAUUAGCUGUUCUCUCAAACAUCUUAACCGGCUCAGAUUCACCUGCCAGGGGUAAGAUGCAAGGAGGAACAUAAAUCAAAGAAAUUUUAUACAAUAGAUAAGCGAACAUUCAAAAAAGAUGAAUUCUCAGAACUGAAGAA